AUGAAGUAUAUUUUCUAAAAUCACCUCUUCAGUAAAGGACAGUGCUGGAAUUCAAAUCUGUUCUUUUUGUGAGCAAUAAACCAACUCCAGAAAAUACUUACUCCUUUGAGCCUGGAAGUAGGGAGGAAGGUAUUCUCAUGGAAGAAUCUGUGUAAAAUAAGGAGGAUGAUGCCUUUGUGCAGCCUUGACGAAGGUUUUUGUGUCUAUGGUAUGGAGGAGUUCUAUACUGAGCCAAGGAAGUGGCGAAAAGAGUUUGAAGAGAGAACUGUCUUAGAAAACAGGGAUGGUGCUAGUGCUUUGGAACAUGAGAAUGGCUACUGGUAAAGAGCUGUCAUGUUCCCUGUGCAAAAGAAAUUAAAAUGCCUCUCCAUUAUGGCAUUUGAUGUAAUUGAAAAUGCUUUUCUUCUAGCGUAAGCUCUCUCUUUUUCAAUUGCCUACAGUUUCUGAAGUGAAUCCCACUUUCAACAGGCAGUCUUUCAUGGCCAAGUGCACAUCAAGUUGUAGGUUCCCUCUACUUCUCAGUUUUUAGAAUGUGUAAGUUAUCUAUUUCACUGCUUCACAUGGGAAGAAAAGCACUCACAGAGAUAGUGUAAUAAUAUAGUUCACCAAUCAAUUAUUUAAAUCCAUUCAAUAUUUGAAUAAUUAGGGCCACGUCAUCUUCUGUCAAUGACUUAAAUUUUUUUUAUUUUUAAAUUUAAUUUUAUUUAUUUUUAAAUUUUUUUAUUGAAAUAUAGUUGAUUUAUAAUGUUGUGUUAGUUUCAGGUAUAUAGCAAAGUGAUUCAGUUUAUUUGCAUAUUCUUUUUUUACAUUCUCUUCCUUUAUAGGUUAUGAUAAGAUACUGAGUAUAAUUCCCUGUGCUAUACAGUGGUUCUUGUUAGUUAUUUUCAUAUGGUAGUCUGUAUAUGUUAAUCUCAAACUCCAUAACUUAUCCCUCCCCCUUUAGUAACCAAGAGUUUGCUUUCUAUGUCUGUGGGUCUAUUUCUAUUUUGUAUGUAAGUUCAUUUGUAUUAUUUAAAAAAUACUCCAUUUAUGAGUGAUAUCAUAGGAUAUUUUUCUCUUUCUGACUUACUUCACUUAAUAUGGUAAUCUCUAGAUCCAACUAUGUUGCUAAAAAUGGCAUUAUUUCAUUCUUUUUUAUGACUGAGUAAUAUUCCAUUGUAUAUAUACCACAUCUUCUUUGUCCAUUCGUCUGUCAGUGGGCAUGGGAAUUGCUUCCAUGUCUUAGCUAUCGUGAACAGUGCUGCAAUGAAUAUUGGGGUGCAUGUUUCUUUUUGAACAUCAACUACUCUAAUAUUCUCUUGGCUGAACUCCCUACCUCAAGUCUCGUUCCACUCUGUUAAUCUUCUUUGCAUCUUCACUGCAACCCCAGAGGCUUACAACACAGAGUUAUCCUUCCAAAACAAAGAUUUGAUCAUAUCACUUUGUUGCUUUAGAAAAAAAAUCAGAGGCUUUCUUUGAAUAACACCCACUCUCAAUUUAGAGUGAUACAUAAUUCUUUUUGCAAUCUGGCCCCAAUUCAUCUUUCCAGCUUCAGCAUCUCUACUUUGCAACCAUAGCCUUUACCACAAGGGACAUCAAAGUGAUAGCCAAGUUUUGGAGAAUACUGUGCUGUUGUGCCCAUGUGACAACACACUAGAGCCAGAGAAGUUAAAGAACCUGUCCAAAGACACUGUGUUCUGUCUUGUUUAUGGUUUAUGAAUCUUGUUUCAAUGAAACAAAAUUAAUUUUGAACAUACUAAAUUCUAUGCAUAACUAAUGCUGUCUUGUGUCAUAACUGAGUAUCAAAUAUCAACCAGUCACAUAAAUUAUCCUGUUAUUUCUGUAGAAUUUAUAGUUGCCAUUAGGGUCAAUAGUUUUCCUUCAUCUUAGACACUGAAACAAUGAUAAUAACACCUUCCAUUCAUUUAGGGCUCACCAUGUGCCAUACACUGAGCUAUGCCUUUAAAAUACAUAAAACAUUUAAUGAUCAAUGCAUUCUUUGAAAUAAUGAUUACUAUUUUUAUUUUGUGAUAAGAAUACUGAGGCUGCAAAAGGCUAAGUAAGGUUCUUGAGAUUAAACAGCUAGUAGUGAAGCUGGAACCGAACUCAAGACCAUCUUCCUUUUAGCCUGUGUCCUCCAUGACUAUGCUCUGCCAUCUCCCCUUAAAGCUCCAGAUUAAACUGCUCAAUACUCUGGGUACCACACUCCAUGCCCAAUGCUUGAAUUCCUUGUUUUCUGCACAACUAGUCUUAUCUUGCAAGUCUUAUCUUUCCAUCUAAGUGGCUGACAAGUUUCUUUUUACUCCCAAUUCUCCUAGUUUCUUGGGUACAAAACAACUUCAGAUAGUAGAAGCUCUGGUAUGAGGUGUGGUUUACUUUCCCUGUAGAGAAUGGCUUCAGAGGAAGGGAAUGAGAGUGACCUAAGCCAUGGGUCAAGUGGCCCAGGUGGGGAGAAAAGAUCUUCCAAGGGUGUAACAAUUCAAGGAACAUCUUUCUAUCUGCCCCCCCCCCCCGCCUUUAAUGUACCCAGUUUCCCAAAUAUCUAGCCUCGGGAGCUCUAUGACUGUCUUACCUCCUCUGUGUUCUGAGUGGGCUCUAGGGUAGGUUGCAGCAAAAAACUAAAACAACCACAAAAAACAGAGAUGCUUUCUUUAAUCCAGUGGCUCACUGUUUUGGUCAUCAAUUCAUUUAUGGAUAUGCCAGGCAUUGUUCUAGGUACUGGAUAUACAGAUGUGAACAAAACAAAGAAUUGAUUAUCCUCAUCGACCUUAAAGCUUGCUAAGGGACAACAGACAAUUAACAACAAACAAAUGUAUGUGUAAUGAAGUGGCAAGAGAGUGGUAAUUUCUAUCAAGAGAAAUCAAGGUGGGGAGAGGGGUAGAAAAUGAUGAAGAGUACUGGUGGGUGUGGGGUUGUCAUUUUAGUUCUGGUGGUCAGGGAAGAUCUUGCUGAGGAGGGAUUCACUGAGUAAAGACCUGAAUGGAGUGAAGGGACAAGUCACGAGCAUAGCUGAGGAAAGAACACUCAGGAGUUCCCGCUGUGGCUCAGCAGUAAUGAACCUGACUAGUAUCCAUGAGGAUGUGGGUUUGAUCCCUGGCCUUGUUCAGUGGGUUAAGGAUCCAGUGUUGCUGUGAGCUGUGGUGUAGGUCACAGAUGUGGCUCAGAUCUGGCGUUGCUGUGGCUGUGGUACAGGCUGGCAGAGGCAGCUCCAAUUCAGCCCCUAUCCUGGGAAGUUCUGUAUGCUGCUGGUGUGGCCCUUAAAAAAAAGGAAAAGAAAGAACAUUCUGGCAGAGUGAAUGGCCCUGAGGUGGAAUUGUUUGAGGAAGAUAAGGAGACCAAUGUUUAUGGAUCCUGAUGGAUGAGGAAGAGAAUGGUGGGAUAUGUGGUUUAAGAAGAGCGGGGACCGGUCAGAGCUUGAGAUUCUAUUCCAAAUAUGGUAGAAAGGUCAUUUGAAGAUUUUGAGCAAAAGGGUGAAAUAAUCAGAUUUAUAUUCUAACAGGAUCCAUCUUGCUGCUGAAUGAAGAAUACAUUAUAGAGGGGCAAAGGUGGAAGGAGAGAGACCAAAUAGAUACAGUGGUAGAGAAUCAGAGAAGUCUUCAGAUUCAGGAACUGCUUGAAGGUAGAGCUGACAACCCUUGCUGAUGGGUUGAACAUGGGGUGUUUGGCAUGAGCCAAAGUUUUUAGGAUUGGGUCUAGGCAGCUAAUUGAAUGGAGCUGCCAGGUACCAAGAUGAGGAUUAGAUUUAGCAGAGGAAAUCAAGAGCUUUGUUUUAGAUGUGUGAGAAAUCAUUUGACUUCCAAGUUCUUGGGUGAGAAGAGGCUCCUAGUAGAGAUCACAAGUCUUAACCCUUGCACAGGGACCUGUCAGGGAAAUAGAAGAAAUAAAGUUCCUUCUGAGUAAUCCUGAUAUUCAAGUGACUAAAAAGUAGGUCAGUCAUCUGGGUUUGUCUCAUAUACACUAUGACCUCAGGGCAAGAUAUCUCUCUGUACAAAAAAAUUCCUGAUUGCUAUUAUCUCAAAAUUUCAGAAUUUAAACAAAAGUAAUUUAUUCCAUAAUUAGGGAUAGGAAGCUUAAAAUGCAAAUAUCUUGAGAGAGAAUUGAGUAUUUAUGAGUUCUUAUCAAAGUAUAACAGAGCAUACGAUGGUCCUGAUUGUGUCUUUAAAAGGUCCUGAGUAUUUUUAAAAAGUCAUUGUUGCAACAGAAGAAAGGGUGGGGGAAAAACUGUAAUUGUAAUGUAUACAUGUAAGGAUAACCUGACCCCCUUGCUGUACAGUGGGGAAAAAAAAAAAGUCAUUGUCAAGAGAAAGGAUAUAUAUAAAGAAAGCAAAGAUUUCACAGUCUUGCCAAGGAAUACCCUAUUUUUUUCAUCUUUUUUUUUUUUUUGUCUUUUUGCCUUUUCUAGGGCCACUCCUGCAGCAUAUGGAGGUUCCCAAGCUAGGGGUCUAAUCGGAGCUGCAACCACCAGCCUACACCACAGCCACAGCAACACAGGAUCUGAGCCUCAUCUGUGACCUACACCACAGCUCAUGGCAAUGCUGGAUCCUUAACCCACUGAGUGAGGCCAGGGAUCGAACCCACGACCUCAUGGUUUCUAUCUGGAUUUGUUUCUGCUGUGCCACGACAGGAACUCCAGAAGUGUGAAUAUCUUGAAGGAUUAUCUAGGUUUAUACCUAAAUGGAGAGUAUCCACCUAAAUGUUUUCUUUCCCCUUUUAGCAUUUUUUUUUAACUUUUUACUUAACCCUUAAUCUCUCCCCCAAAGUGUUCUUCAACUGGAAGGUCAGUGGCAUGAUAGGGACUUGUUGCCUCUUUUCUAGGGCUAUCAUUCUGGAGAAUUCUACUAACUGUGCAAUUUCCAUUUCAUGUCCCACUGUCAUUUUCCAACAGCGUCCUGGGGGAGGGGUACCACAUCUAACACCAGAAAGGAUUUAAGGCAGCUUUUCCAUUAUUUUUUUUCUCUGAUUAUCAGUGAUAGAUGCUUAUUGCAAAAAGAAAUUUAACAAAAAUUUUAAAAAAUAACAAAAAACGAAAACUCUUCCUAACUAGAAGCAACUCCAACACCAUUGUAAUAUAUUUCUUUCCAGUGUUUUAUUCAUUUUGUUCUUUCAUAAUCGAGAUCAUUAAUGUACAUGCAACUUUGCAUCCUGCUGUUUAUGCUCACAUUAAGACAUACAUAUUUGUCAGUGUCAUUGCAUUUUUUUUUCUUUUUUGUCUUUUAAGGGCUGCACCAUGGCAUAUAGAAUUUCCCAGGAUAGUGGGUCAAAUUGGCGCUGCAGCUGCUGGCCUACACCAUAGCCAUGGGUAACUCGGGAUCUGAGCUGCAUCCAUGACCUACACCUCAGUUCACGGCAACACAGGAUCCUUAAGCCACUGAACGAGGCCAGGGAUCAAACCCACAUCCUCAUGGAUACUAGUCGGGUUCAUUACAGCUGAGCCACAAUGGGAAUUCUGUGUCAUUGCAUUUUUUAUGGCUUACAUAAUCAUCGAUAGUAUAGCUGCACCACGGUUUAGUCAAGGUAGUUUCUGAUUAUAUACAAUUACAGAUAACACUGAUAAACAGCUUUGUGCAUAAAUCUUUUUUAUAUAUAUAAUGAUUUUUAUUUUUUUCCAUUGUAGCUGAUUUACAGUGCUCUGUCAAUUUUCUACUAUACAGCAAGGUGACCCAGUUACACAUACAUGUAUACAUUGUUUUUUCUCCCAUUAUCAUGCUCCAUCAUAAGUGACCAGACAUAGUUCCCAGUGGCUUUGUGCAUAAAUCUUUGUCCUUCUUUUGGAUGAGGGAUUGGUGAAUUAAAGGGUAUACAUAUUUUUUUAAAGCGUCUGAUAGUCACUGCUACACUGAUUUCCAGAAAGGUUGGUAUCAAGUUACACUUGGGGGGGACGUGGGGGAGGCCUCUUAGAACUAAUGGAGUUGUAGAAAAUAUUUGAUAGCAUUUUUUCUUUUUAAAAUAGUAAUUCUGUUUAGUUUGAACACACACACACAGAGGGGAAAUGGCUGUGUGUUGCUAUAUACUAAUUAUUAUUUGCUCUGCUUCAUGGUGGUAACAUGGUACUAACUCAACAGUAGAUUAGUAUUAGCCUAUGUGGUGGCUAAUACAAGUGUUACAAAGUAUGGAGAAUAGCAGAUGCACUUGUGCAGUGAAACCCAGGAAAUUCUCCUUUAAUGGAGGUCAGAUGUUCAUUGGAUAUUGAGGGAGUCGGGUGAUGAGGAAAGGAAAGAUCACAGAAGGCAGUCAGGGAGAGGGAUGGAGUGGGAAGGAGGUGGCCCUUGCCCCGGGGAGUUGCCUUCUACUCGUUUUUGAUGUGCCUGUGAACAUUUUUAUUGUGGUAAAAUAUAUAUAACAAAAAUAUCCAUUUAAACAAUUUUAAGUGUGCAGUUCAACAGCAUUAAGUGCAUUCACAGUGUUGGCCAUCUAUCACUGCUAUUAACAAACUUUUUCCAUCACUCCAGAAAGAAAUUCUAUUAACCAUUAUACUAUAAGUUCCUAUCCCCCAGGCCCUGACCACCAGUAAUAAUCUACUUUUUAUUUCUAUGAAUUUGCCUAUUCUAGAUAUUUCAUAUGAGUGAAAUCUUACAAUGUUUUUCUUUUUAUGUCUGGCUCAUUUCGCUUAAUAUACUGUUUCCAUGUACUUCAUUUCUUUUUAUGGCUGAAUACUACUCUGUCAUUUGUAUAUACCACAUUUUGUUCACACAUUUAUCUGUUGGUGGACGCUGGGUUAUUUCCAUCUUUGGGCUAUUAUGGAUUACACUACAGUGAACACUGGUGUGCCAGUAUGUGAUUCAGUCCCUGUUUACAAUUCUUUUGAAUUAUACCUGGAAGCACAAAUGCUAGGUCAACUCUUACAGAGCAACUCUUACAGAGUCCUAGACACUGAAGGAAAAGCCCCUCUUAAAAAGGGGACCUCUUAAAGUAUUAAAAUUCUUAUGUCAGAUUUUCCAUACCCUACAAUAUAUAUAUAUGACAAUACAUCUCGGUCAUUAGGAGAAAGAGGAGAGGAGAAGAAGUUGAAUUAGAAAUCAUACAUAGGGAGUUCUCUUGUGGCACAGUGGGUUAAGGGUCUAGUGUUGUCUCUGUAGUGGCUUGGUUCCCUGCUGUGGCGUGGGUUCCAUCCCUGGCCCAGGAAUUUCCACAUGCUAUGGGUGUAACCAAAAAAAGAAAGAAAGAAAAAGAAAGAAA
This 7155-nucleotide long non-coding RNA is filed under the name Sus scrofa (pig). RNAcentral describes it as "lncRNA (ENSSSCG00040041717.1)". The record is from RNAcentral. Lineage: Eukaryota; Metazoa; Chordata; Mammalia; Artiodactyla; Suidae.